This 627-nucleotide long non-coding RNA is filed under the name Equus asinus (donkey). RNAcentral's name for it is "lncRNA (ENSEASG00005028936.1)". Lineage: Eukaryota; Metazoa; Chordata; Mammalia; Perissodactyla; Equidae. The record is from RNAcentral.
GAAACCUCAACUUGCGUGAGGAGAGCACAGGUGUUUGUUCAGAAGGUGAGCAGACUUUGUUUCCAGUUCUCCAUCUUCACGCACCGCCCCCAGGCUUAACCGGUGGUUGCGUUCACCUGGACAACCACUCGGAACAGAACAUCAGGACUUACUAUGUGUCCAAAAUGACUAAUUGACAAAGAGAAGGAGAGAGUAAGAGCAGAGAGCGUGGACUGCAGAGUCAGAAUGCCUGGUUCAAAUUGUGGAUCCAGCAAGUCACAGAUGAGGCCGCCAUGGCAGAGGAACUAUCAGCCUGGAUCCCAGGGCAGAGGCCCCUGGCAACUUGUGCCGGAUGGAAUAUAGCAUGAGUCCGUGCCCGGGAACUCAACCUGAGCUGCCAAAGUGGAGCAUGCCGCACUUCACCUCUAGGCCACCGGGGCUGGCCCUCACUCUUAUUUAUUUAUUAUUUACUGCUGGAGGAAUAUGCAUAUCUAUAUUCUCUUGACUUAUGCAUCAUUUUGGGGACGUUGGAGAACUGUAGACAGUUCUACAUGGACCUACAUGGUUCUGACAGUGAAACGUUGGCCCAUCUUUUGUUCAUCUUGUUCUACAGAGCUCGGCUGGUUUUACAUCUAAUCCUCAUCCUGG